Molecule: long non-coding RNA, 261 nt
Filed under: Physcomitrium patens
Lineage: Eukaryota; Viridiplantae; Streptophyta; Bryopsida; Funariales; Funariaceae
Description: long non-coding RNA (PPAT_LNC013810)
Source: RNAcentral
GAUCAUUGUUCAAAGUCAAUGUAUGUAUUUUUGAUUUGGAUUUUAUAUAAUAUAAUUAGGGCUAGCAAUUUUGGCUAGUUUGUGCAACUGGUAUAGCAUCUAUAGUUCAAAAUUUGAUAUUAUUUGGAUUAUUGGGUGUGCUAAGUGUAUACAAAAUUUUGUGAUAAUCUAAUAGUGUAGUUUAGAGAUAUCUAGUUUUUAGCACAAGAGGGUUUCGGAAGUUGGUAAUUUGGGAUUGGAUAGGGUUUCUAUGAUAUUUAG